AAGGAGAUAUGGGAUUUACCUGGAAGAAGACAUCCACCCAAAAUGGGAUUGGAAUUCACAUUUUUUGAGGGCAUAUUGAAGAGAUACAGCAUGAGAACACACAGAUGUAAUGAUGCCUGCUUAGCAGUGAGGGUUUGGUCAGGGGGGAUAUGGGAGCAGGGAAAUCAGGAUGAGCCUGGUCACUGCUCCUCUCAGCAAAUCCCUCUCUGCCCCUUGGUACAGGUGGCAGCAUGAGCUCCCAGGACAUGUGCAGCUCCCCAGGGGAUCUCCGAGCUCCUGCUCUCCAAAUGAACUCAACUUCUGCUCAGCCAGGUACCACAGUUGUGCUCCAGUGUAUUCUCCCUGUGGUGUCACCCGUAAUACGAAUCAUCAUCUGCAAGGAUGGCAAGCAGCUGUACAGCGAGAAAGCCCAUCAAGGGCAGCUGAGCUACUCCGUGGUCCUGAACAUCACAUCAGGAAGCGCAGGAAGAUAUACAUGUGGGUACCAGCAGAGGAAUGAGAUGAAACAGAGGAGGAGCUCUGCCCUCAGUGCUGGCCGCAUCCUGAAUGUCCCUGGUGAGUCAUGGCCCUGGGCUGGAGGGGUGAGAAGGGACGGAGGCACUUGCCACCACAUGGCUGUGCUGAGG
This 626-nucleotide long non-coding RNA is filed under the name Anas platyrhynchos platyrhynchos (common mallard). RNAcentral's name for it is "lncRNA (ENSAPLG00000020009.1)". Lineage: Eukaryota; Metazoa; Chordata; Aves; Anseriformes; Anatidae. The record is from RNAcentral.